RNAcentral lists this ribosomal RNA (1363 nucleotides) under uncultured bacterium. RNAcentral describes it as "bacterial SSU rRNA". It matches the Rfam family "Bacterial small subunit ribosomal RNA", at positions 28 to 1381 of the family's 1533-position model. The record is from RNAcentral.
GAUGAACGCUAGCUACAGGCUUAACACAUGCAAGUCGAGGGGCAGCAUGGUCUUAGCUUGCUAAGGCCGAUGGCGACCGGCGCACGGGUGAGUAACACGUAUCCAACCUGCCGUCUACUCUUGGACAGCCUUCUGAAAGGAAGAUUAAUACAAGAUGGCAUCAUGAGUCCGCAUGUUCACAUGAUUAAAGGUAUUCCGGUAGACGAUGGGGAUGCGUUCCAUUAGAUAGUAGGCGGGGUAACGGCCCACCUAGUCUUCGAUGGAUAGGGGUUCUGAGAGGAAGGUCCCCCACAUUGGAACUGAGACACGGUCCAAACUCCUACGGGAGGCAGCAGUGAGGAAUAUUGGUCAAUGGGCGAGAGCCUGAACCAGCCAAGUAGCGUGAAGGAUGACUGCCCUAUGGGUUGUAAACUUCUUUUAUAAAGGAAUAAAGUCGGGUAUGCAUACCCGUUUGCAUGUACUUUAUGAAUAAGGAUCGGCUAACUCCGUGCCAGCAGCCGCGGUAAUACGGAGGAUCCGAGCGUUAUCCGGAUUUAUUGGGUUUAAAGGGAGCGUAGAUGGAUGUUUAAGUCAGUUGUGAAAGUUUGCGGCUCAACCGUAAAAUUGCAGUUGAUACUGGAUAUCUUGAGUGCAGUUGAGGCAGGCGGAAUUCGUGGUGUAGCGGUGAAAUGCUUAGAUAUCACGAAGAACUCCGAUUGCGAAGGCAGCCUGCUAAGCUGCAACUGACAUUGAGGCUCGAAAGUGUGGGUAUCAAACAGGAUUAGAUACCCUGGUAGUCCACACGGUAAACGAUGAAUACUCGCUGUUUGCGAUAUACAGCAAGCGGCCAAGCGAAAGCGUUAAGUAUUCCACCUGGGGAGUACGCCGGCAACGGUGAAACUCAAAGGAAUUGACGGGGGCCCGCACAAGCGGAGGAACAUGUGGUUUAAUUCGAUGAUACGCGAGGAACCUUACCCGGGCUUAAAUUGCAGAUGAAUUACGGUGAAAGCCGUAAGCCGCAAGGCAUCUGUGAAGGUGCUGCAUGGUUGUCGUCAGCUCGUGCCGUGAGGUGUCGGCUUAAGUGCCAUAACGAGCGCAACCCUUGUUGUCAGUUACUAACAGGUUCCGCUGAGGACUCUGACAAGACUGCCAUCGUAAGAUGUGAGGAAGGUGGGGAUGACGUCAAAUCAGCACGGCCCUUACGUCCGGGGCUACACACGUGUUACAAUGGGGGGUACAGAGGGCCGCUACCACGCGAGUGGAUGCCAAUCCCAAAAACCUCUCUCAGUUUCGGACUGGAGUUCCGCAACCCGACUCCACGAAAGCUGGAUUUCGCUUAGUAAUCGCGCAUCAGCCACGGCGCGGUGAAUACGUUCCCGGGCCU